This is an unclassified non-coding RNA of Aotus nancymaae (Ma's night monkey), 211 nucleotides long. NCBI's taxonomy places the organism in Eukaryota, Metazoa, Chordata, Mammalia, Primates, Aotidae. The record is from Ensembl.
UUUGCAGCUUUAGAUUGUGGUCAGAGGCUAUUACAAAAUCUUGUAUUCUAUGAUGGGUCAUAUGCAUCUAAAGCAUGGUGGUUCAGUUUAUGAAUGUAUAAAAGGACAAUUUUUUGAUUAAUGGCAGCUUUGAGUUUAGAACAUAUCCCAGACAUCUUAGUUGCCCUUAGUUAUUUUUGGAGAUAUUUUUCUCAGCCAUUAAUAAAGCAAU